GUAAGUAUAAUUUAACUAAAAUAUCAGAUUGUGAUUCUGGAAACAGGGGUUAAAACCCCCUUACUCACC
Molecule: transfer RNA, 69 nt
Filed under: Macrhybopsis meeki (sicklefin chub)
Lineage: Eukaryota; Metazoa; Chordata; Actinopteri; Cypriniformes; Leuciscidae
Description: tRNA-His
Rfam family: tRNA
About the family: Transfer RNA (tRNA) molecules are approximately 80 nucleotides in length. Their secondary structure includes four short double-helical elements and three loops (D, anti-codon, and T loops).
Source: RNAcentral